GUCUUUUUAGUUUAACCAAAAUAUUGGUCUUGUAAACCAAAGUUCAAGAAGUUGAUAAGACU
Molecule: transfer RNA, 62 nt
Filed under: Bourletiella arvalis
Lineage: Eukaryota; Metazoa; Arthropoda; Collembola; Symphypleona; Bourletiellidae
Description: tRNA-Thr
Source: RNAcentral